UGGAGCACGGAGCGAGGAGGGGGGGUAAAUCGGGGGUGGCAUGCGGUGUUAGGAAUUCGGGGGCGGAAAGGGCGCGUAGGCGGUCGAGUAAGUCUGACGUGAAAUCCCUUGGCUCAACCAAGGAACUGCGUCUUAAACUGCUCGGCUUGAGUCCGGGAGAGGGUAGUGGAAUUCCCAGUGUAGCGGUGAAAUGCGUAGAUAUUGGGAGGAACACCGGUGGCGAAGGCGGCUACCUGGACCGGUACUGACGCUGAGGCGCGAAAGCUAGGGUAGCAAACAGGAUUAGAUACCCCGGUAGUC
Molecule: ribosomal RNA, 300 nt
Filed under: uncultured bacterium
Lineage: Bacteria
Description: bacterial SSU rRNA
Rfam family: Bacterial small subunit ribosomal RNA (bases 52-300)
Source: RNAcentral